CGGUCUGAUGUUCAACACUGAAUCUUUAGCAAUGCAGCAAGCGUCAAGCGCGAAAGAAGAGAGCGCUUCACGCAACUAAAAGUGCCAACACAAAGGUUGAAGAUUGAGUGUUGAACAUCAGAUAGUGGCGAACGGGUGAGUAACGCGUAGACAACCUGCCUUCCAGAUGGGGACAACACCGCGAAAGUGGUGCUAAUACCGAAUGUUGUAUUUUGGGUGCAUGCCUGAGAUACGAAAGGUGGCCUCUAUUUAUAAGCUACCGCUGGAAGAUGGGUCUGCGUCUGAUUAGCUAGUUGGUGGGGUAACGGCUCACCAAGGCGACGAUCAGUAGCCGGUCUGAGAGGAUGAACGGCCACACUGGGACUGAGACACGGCCCAGACUCCUACGGGAGGCAGCAGUGGGGAAUCUUCCGCAAUGGACGAAAGUCUGACGGAGCAACGCCGCGUGAGUGAAGAAGGUUUUCGGAUCGUAAAACUCUGUUUUCAGGGACGAAUGUGCUGUUUGUAAAUAAUGAACAGCAAUGACGGUACCUGACAAGAAAGCCACGGCUAACUACGUGCCAGCAGCCGCGGUAAUACGUAGGUGGCAAGCGUUGUCCGGAAUUAUUGGGCGUAAAGCGCGCGCAGGUGGGAUAUUAAGUCUGGUGUUAAAGUUCGGGGCUCAACCCCGUGAAGCAUUGGAUACUGAUAUUCUUGAGUGCAG
Molecule: ribosomal RNA, 703 nt
Filed under: uncultured Pelosinus sp.
Lineage: Bacteria; Bacillati; Bacillota; Negativicutes; Selenomonadales; Sporomusaceae
Description: bacterial SSU rRNA
Rfam family: Bacterial small subunit ribosomal RNA (bases 74-703)
Source: RNAcentral